This 66-nucleotide transfer RNA is filed under the name Tyspanodes hypsalis. Its description in RNAcentral is "tRNA-Glu". Lineage: Eukaryota; Metazoa; Arthropoda; Insecta; Lepidoptera; Crambidae. The record is from RNAcentral.
AUUUAUAUAGUUUAAAUAAAACAUUACAUUUUCACUGUAAAAAUAAAAUAUUUAUUUUUAUAAAUA